Molecule: ribosomal RNA, 435 nt
Filed under: uncultured bacterium
Lineage: Bacteria
Description: partial 16S ribosomal RNA
Rfam family: Bacterial small subunit ribosomal RNA
Source: RNAcentral
GCGAACGCUGGCGGCAGGCUUAACACAUGCAAGUCGAGCGGGCAUCCUUGUGGUGUCAGCGGCAGACGGGUGAGUAACGCGUGGGAACGUGCCCUUCGGUUCGGAAUAACUCAGGGAAACUUGAGCUAAUACCGGAUACGUGCGAGAGCAGAAAGGUUUAUCUGCCGAAGGAUCGGCCCGCGUCUGAUUAGCUAGUUGGUGAGGUUAUGGCUCACCAAGGCGACGAUCAGUAGCUGGUCUGAGAGGAUGAUCAGCCACACUGGGACUGAGACACGGCCCAGACUCCUACGGGAGGCAGCAGUGGGGAAUAUUGGACAAUGGGGCAACCCUGAUCCAGCCAUGCCGCGUGAGUGAUGACGGCCUUAGGGUUGUAAAGCUCUUUUCUCCGGGACGAUAAUGACGGUACCGGAGGAAUAAGCCCCGGCUAACUUCGUG